Long non-coding RNA from Octopus sinensis (East Asian common octopus), 73 nucleotides. RefSeq lists it as uncharacterized. The record is from RefSeq and is a predicted model, not a curated record. NCBI's taxonomy places the organism in Eukaryota, Metazoa, Mollusca, Cephalopoda, Octopoda, Octopodidae. The transcript has 3 exons.
UCUCUCUCUCUCUCUGCAUGAAAGGAAGAUUGUAUGAUGCAUGUAUAUGGACAGCAAUGCCACAUGGUAGUGA